GCUUCUGAAAGAUAACAGUUAUCUAUU
Molecule: transfer RNA, 27 nt
Filed under: Pristis zijsron (longcomb sawfish)
Lineage: Eukaryota; Metazoa; Chordata; Chondrichthyes; Rhinopristiformes; Pristidae
Description: partial tRNA-Leu
Source: RNAcentral